Molecule: ribosomal RNA, 611 nt
Filed under: Zygaena aisha
Lineage: Eukaryota; Metazoa; Arthropoda; Insecta; Lepidoptera; Zygaenidae
Description: partial 12S ribosomal RNA
Source: RNAcentral
UGCGGUUAUACAGAAGUUAAAUUAAAUUUUUUUAGGAUUUAAUAAAUAAAAUUUAAAAUUAAUAAUAAUUUAAAUUUUAAAUUAUAAAGUGAAAUUUUAAUUUAAUUAAAAUUUAUUUAUUUUUAUGAUAUUAAUAAAUUUUAUAAAAAACUAGGAUUAGAUACCCUAUUAUAAAAAUUUAAAUUGAAAUAAUCUUAAAAUAGUAUAUAAUUUUUUUAUAGAAACUUAAAUAAUUUGGCGGUAUUUUAGUUCAUUUAGAGGAAUCUGUCUAAUAAUUGAUAAUCCACGAUUAAAUUUACUUAAUUUUUAAUUUUGUAUAUCGUUGUUAAAAAAAUAUUUUUAAAUAAUUUUAAUAUUUUAGAAUUUAUAUAAAAAAUUAAAUCAGAUCAAGAUGCAGAUUAUAAUUAAGAAUAUGAUGGAUUACAAUAAAUUUUAUUUAGUUUGAAUAUUAAUUUGAAAUAAAUUGAUUGAAAUUGGAUUUAAAUGUAAUUUUAUUUAUUUUAAUAAAAUGAUUGAAAAUUAAAAUAUGUACAUAUUGCCCGUCGCUUUCAUAGAUAAAUUGAAAUAAGUCGUAACAAAGUAGAGGUACUGGAAAGUGUUUCUAGAAAGAU